RNAcentral lists this long non-coding RNA (831 nucleotides) under Nicotiana benthamiana. RNAcentral describes it as "long non-coding RNA (NBEN_LNC022975)". The record is from RNAcentral. Lineage: Eukaryota; Viridiplantae; Streptophyta; Magnoliopsida; Solanales; Solanaceae.
CUGUAUGUAACUGCCACAUACAUAAUUAAGAAAUCAUCAUAUCCUCGAUCGACUUCAGUCACACACUCUCUUUUCUUUCACGUUCGGUCUAUGGUUCCUCAAUUUAUAUCUCUUUAUUUUAGUUUUUUUACUGUAAUUCGUUUUGGUCCAGCUUCAAUUCAAUGCAAUCAAGCUGAAUAAUACUUCAAAUUUCUAUAAUAUUUGCUCUCUAUAUGCUGGCACUUUUUAUUUAGGUUUGGAAGGUGAAAAAAAAAAGUAAAGAAGAAAGAGGGUGGCGUUCGAUGGAUCAGGCGUGGAUCCCAGAUAUUUGAUCUGGGUCAAUGAUUUGUUAACGGGUUUUUCUUAGGGUUUUGGUUGGUUUAAGAGUUGAUUAAUAAGAUUUGAUUGAUAAAAAGUAAAGCAGAUAAUGGAGUUUACCGAAGAGGCAGCCGACAGUGACGGAGAUGCCAGAGAUGAUUGUGAGAUGGAGGUAAUUGAGGGUGUUGAAAUUGGAAACCGUCUUAGUAAAAGAUGGGUUUCGAUCUAUAACUGGGUAUUCCGGCUUUGCUGAUGCUGUUAUGUAUGUGUUCAUCUUCCCUAAUAGCAGCUGCUCUUUUGGCCAGUCGCCGGCGACGGACACUGAGAUGGUUUUUAAUUGAAAAAUACAAGUGUCAGUAGUUGUAUAUGUUCGUCUUUGCUAUAAUUGCGGGUGACUAAUUAAAUCAUUAGAUAACCUUGAAUAUACAGGUGUCAACAAAAUAUGAAUGAAUAGAUGAUGCGGCUAUACAAAAUAUUAAACUAAAUCCAUAUCAGCAGCAAUUGAACAACACACACCAUUACAAGUGUUUAUUA